Molecule: ribosomal RNA, 529 nt
Filed under: uncultured bacterium
Lineage: Bacteria
Description: bacterial SSU rRNA
Rfam family: Bacterial small subunit ribosomal RNA
Source: RNAcentral
CUUGACAUCCAGCGAACUUUCCAGAGAUGGAUUGGUGCCUUCGGGAACGCUGAGACAGGUGCUGCAUGGCUGUCGUCAGCUCGUGUUGUGAAAUGUUGGGUUAAGUUCCGNAACGAGCGCAACCCUUAUCCUUUGUUGCCAGCGAUUCGGUCGGGAACUCAAAGGAGACUGCCGGUGAUAAACCGGAGGAAGGUGGGGAUGACGUCAAGUCAUCAUGGCCCUUACGAGUAGGGCUACACACGUGCUACAAUGGCGCAUACAAAGAGAAGCGACCUCGCGAGAGCAAGCGGACCUCAUAAAGUGCGUCGUAGUCCGGAUCGGAGUCUGCAACUCGACUCCGUGAAGUCGGAAUCGCUAGUAAUCGUGGAUCAGAAUGCCACGGUGAAUACGUUCCCGGGCCUUGUACACACCGCCCGUCACACCAUGGGAGUGGGUUGCAAAAGAAGUAGGUAGCUUAACCUUCGGGAGGGCGCUUACCACUUUGUGAUUCAUGACUGGGGUGAAGUCGUAACAAGGUAGGCGUAGCGAG